ACAGAGUUGCUCAUAUAAGUAGCAAGAGGUGCUAGAUUUCAGUUGCCUUUCCUUAAAGAGAAGGCAGGUUGUGGGGGGAACCCAAACUCCAGAGAAUCCAGAGUAAACUUUAUAGUACCCUAGACAGGAAAUUUGAGACAUUCCUCAUAACCACAGCUGGUGGUCUUGCACAGGUGUCACUUAAUUUUAAACCAUGAGAUGAGAAGUGUGGAGGGGUGGAGGGACCUCAUAUUUUUAGAAAUUAUAUAAUAGUUAACCAUGUGAUUAACUGUUUGAGACAUUUUCUUCCUACUCCUUGGCUACCUUUUUUCCCCUCUCUUUUAUUCAGCUAAGAAACAAAUUGAAUCAAGAGCAGAAUGCCAAGCUACAACAACAGAGGGAGUGUUUGAAUAAGCGUAAUUCAGAAGUGGCAGUCAUGGAUAAGCGUGUUAAUGAGCUGAGGGACCGGCUGUGGAAGAAGAAGGCAGCUCUACAGCAAAAAGAAAAUCUACCAGUUUCAUCUGAUGGAAAUCUUCCCCAGCAAGCCGCGUCAGCCCC
Molecule: long non-coding RNA, 537 nt
Filed under: Homo sapiens (human)
Lineage: Eukaryota; Metazoa; Chordata; Mammalia; Primates; Hominidae
Description: non-protein coding lnc-TP53BP2-2:1
Source: RNAcentral